GCGUCCACAGGCUCCCAGAGGCAGAGUCGGCAGAGGAGCACCGCUGGAAUUUGUGGCUGUUUUUCUCUCCUCUCAGCGGGGGUCGCCACUGAAGUGCCGCUUUAAUCCCAGGCCCAGCGCGGUGGGUUAAGGAUCCAGUGCUGGCGUCGCUGUCACAUAGGCUGCAGCUGUGGCUGGAAUUCGAUCCCGGGCCCAGGAGCUCCCAUGUGCUGCAGAUAUAAGGGGAGUCUGGCCCUCCAUCCCUCAGCGUGGCUGGAAAAAGAGGGAAGAUCAGGCGACAGUAAAGG
This 287-nucleotide long non-coding RNA is filed under the name Sus scrofa (pig). Its description in RNAcentral is "lncRNA (ENSSSCG00060024980.1)". The record is from RNAcentral. Lineage: Eukaryota; Metazoa; Chordata; Mammalia; Artiodactyla; Suidae.